Non-coding RNA from Trichonephila inaurata madagascariensis, 76 nucleotides. Lineage: Eukaryota; Metazoa; Arthropoda; Arachnida; Araneae; Nephilidae. The record is from the annotation of a GenBank genome assembly.
GUCCCUGUAGCGCUGUCCAGAUAGCGCGUUGGACUUCUGAUCCAAAGGUCGUGGGUUUUGAAUCCCAUCUGGAAUG